AGUUCAACGGCCGCGGUAUUUUGACCGUGCAAAGGUAGCGCAAUCACUUGUCUUUUAAAUAGAGACCUGUAUGAAUGGCUAAACGAGGGCUUAACUGUCUCCCCUUUCAAGUCAGUGAAAUUGAUCUACCCGUGCAGAGGCGGGUAUAAUACUACAAGACGAGAAGACCCUUUGGAGCUUAAGGUACAAAACUCAACCACGUUAAGCAACUCAAUAAAAAGCAAAAACCUUGUGGACCAUGAGAUUUUACCUUCGGUUGGGGCGACCACGGAGGAAAGAAAAGCCUCCAGGUGGACUGGGAAAACCUCCUAAAACCAAGAGAGACAUCUCUAAGCCACAGAACAUCUGACCAAAUAUGAUCCGGCUAACACAUAGCCGAUCAACGAACCAAGUUACCCUAGGGAUAACAGCGCAAUCCUCUCCCAGAGUCCAUAUCGACGAGGGGGUUUACGACCUCGAUGUUGGAUCAGGACAUCCUAAUGGUGCAGCCGCUAU
RNAcentral lists this ribosomal RNA (495 nucleotides) under Cyprinus carpio (common carp). RNAcentral describes it as "partial 16S ribosomal RNA". It matches the Rfam family "Bacterial large subunit ribosomal RNA", at positions 1921 to 2565 of the family's 2925-position model. The record is from RNAcentral. Lineage: Eukaryota; Metazoa; Chordata; Actinopteri; Cypriniformes; Cyprinidae.